GAUGAACGCUGGCGGCGUGCCUAAUACAUGCAAGUCGAGCGAACGGACGAGAAGCUUGCUUCUCUGAUGUUAGCGGCGGACGUGUGAGUAACACGUGGAUAACCUACCUAUAAGACUGGGAUAACUUCGGGAAACCGUAGCUAAUACCGGAUAAUAUUUUGAACCGCAUGGUUCAAAAGUGAAAGACGGUCUUGCUGUCACUUAUAGAUGGAUCCGCGCUGCAUUAGCUAGUUGGUAAGGUAACGGCUUACCAAGGCAACGAUGCAUAGCCGACCUGAGAGGGUGAUCGGCCACACUGGAGCUGAGACACGGUCCAGACUCCUACGGGAGGCAGCAGUAGGGAAUCUUCCGCAAUGGGCGAAAGCCUGACGGAGCAACGCCGCGUGAGUGAUGAAGGUCUUCGGAUCGUAAAACUCUGUUAUUAGGGAAGAACAUAUGUGUAAGUAACUGUGCACAUCUUGACGGUACCUAAUCAGAAAGCCACGGCUAACUACGUG
This 497-nucleotide ribosomal RNA is filed under the name uncultured bacterium. RNAcentral's name for it is "partial 16S ribosomal RNA". It matches the Rfam family "Bacterial small subunit ribosomal RNA", at positions 28 to 507 of the family's 1533-position model. The record is from RNAcentral.